UGGGGUGGGCGGUAAGCAAGAGUCAAGCUGGUUUCUCCGGGGAAGCGGGUGCCUAUUUGAGGGCGAGUAAAGACGUAGGAGACCGAGGAAAGUGUGUGGGAGGGGUUGACCUGCCCCUUGUCCUGGCCCCGGCUCUGUUCACUUGCAGACACCAUACAGAGCCUUCAUUCAUUCAUUCAUUGACAAUGAAUGUGGGGUGCCCCUCUGUAACCAGACCUGGAUCAAGACGCCUGCCUCCCCAGACUCAGCCACUGCCCACUUCAGCUUCUGCCGGACCCUCCUGGAGCACACGGUGUCAGCUGAGAGCAUCCCCUGCCACUUGCCUCGGACACCUGGCACCAGCCUCACGUGGCAUGACUCCCGCAGCCAGAGGGCGGCCAGCAGCAGGCCAAUCAAGCUCCUGCAGCAGCCCGGCACAGACACCCCCCAGGGCCGGCUGUACUCUGACCACUAUGGCCUGUACCAUACAAGCCCCUCACUGGGUGGCCUGACCCGGCCCGUGGUCCUGUGGAGUCAGCAGGACGUCUGCAAGUGGCUCAAGAAGCACUGUCCCCACAACUACCUCGUCUACGUGGAGGCCUUCUCCCAGCAUGCCAUCACCGGCCGGGCACUGCUGCGGCUGAAUGCGGAGAAGCUGCAGCGGAUGGGGCUGGCCCAGGAGGCCCAGAGGCAGGAGGUGCUGCAGCAGGUGCUCCGCCUGCAGGUGCGUGAGGAGGGGCGGAGCCUGCAGCUGCUCAGCCAAGCUUCCUUCGGGAAAAUGUCCUAGCUGCUGUUGAGGCUUGAACCCAGACCCCAGCACUG
This 801-nucleotide small RNA is filed under the name Pan troglodytes (chimpanzee). RNAcentral describes it as "processed transcript". The record is from RNAcentral. Lineage: Eukaryota; Metazoa; Chordata; Mammalia; Primates; Hominidae.